GAUGAACGCUAGCUACAGGCUUAACACAUGCAAGUCGAGGGGCAGCAUGACCUAGCAAUAGGUUGAUGGCGACCGGCGCACGGGUGAGUAACACGUAUCCAACCUGCCGAUUAUUCCGGGAUAGCCUUUCGAAAGAAAGAUUAAUACUGGAUAGCAUAACGAGAAGGCAUCUUCUUGUUAUUAAAGAAUUUCGAUAAUCGAUGGGGAUGCGUUCCAUUAGUUUGUUGGCGGGGUAACGGCCCACCAAGACAUCGAUGGAUAGGGGUUCUGAGAGGAAGGUCCCCCACAUUGGAACUGAGACACGGUCCAAACUCCUACGGGAGGCAGCAGUGAGGAAUAUUGGUCAAUGGACGAGAGUCUGAACCAGCCAAGUAGCGUGAAGGAGGACUGCCCUAUGGGUUGUAAACUUCUUUUAUAUGGGAAUAAAGUGGGCCACGUGUGGCUUUUUGUAUGUACCAUACGAAUAAGGAUCGGCUAACUCCGUG
RNAcentral lists this ribosomal RNA (485 nucleotides) under uncultured bacterium. Its description in RNAcentral is "partial 16S ribosomal RNA". It matches the Rfam family "Bacterial small subunit ribosomal RNA", at positions 28 to 507 of the family's 1533-position model. The record is from RNAcentral.